CUCCGGUUGAUCCUGCCGGACCCGACUGCUAUCAGAGUGGGACUAAGCCAUGCGAGUCAACAUAGCAAUAUGUGGCAUACGGCUCAGUAACACGUAGUCAACAUGCCCAGGGGACGUGGAUAACCUCGGGAAACUGAGGAUAAACCGCGAUAGGUCAUCACUUCUGGAAUGGGUAAUGACUUAAAUCUAUAUGGCCCCUGGAUUGGACUGCGGCCGAUCAGGCUGUUGGUGAGGUAAUGGCCCACCAAACCUGUAACCGGUACGGGCUCUGAGAGGAGGAGUCCGGAGAUGGGCACUGAGACAAGGGCCCAGGCCCUAUGGGGCGCAGCAGGCGCGAAACCUCUGCAAUAGGCGAAAGCUUGACAGGGUUACUCUGAGUGAUUUCCGUUAAGGAGAUCUUUUGGCACCUCUAAAAAUAGUGUAGAAUAAGGGGUGGGCAAGUCUGGUGUCAGCCGCCGCGGUAAUACCAGCACCCCGAGUGGUCGGGACGAUUAUUGGGCCUAAAGCAUCCGUAGCCGGUUCUGCAAGUCUUCCGUUAAAUCCACCUGCUCAACAGAUGGGCUGCGGAGGAUACUACAGGGCUAGGAGGCGGGAGAGGCAAGCGGUACUCAGUGGGUAGGGGUAAAAUCCUCUGAUCCACUGAAGACCACCAGUGGCGAAGGCGGCUUGCCAGAACGCGCUCGACGGUGAGGGAUGAAAGCUGGGGGAGCAAACCGGAUUAGAUACCCGGGUAGUCCCAGCUGUAAACGAUGCAGACUCGGUGAUGGGUUGGCUUCGAGCCAACCCAGUGCCGCAGGGAAGCCGUUAAGUCUGCCGCCUGGGGAGUACGGUCGCAAGACUGAAACUUAAAGGAAUUGGCGGGGGGAGCA
This 869-nucleotide ribosomal RNA is filed under the name uncultured archaeon. RNAcentral's name for it is "bacterial SSU rRNA". It matches the Rfam family "Archaeal small subunit ribosomal RNA", at positions 1 to 878 of the family's 1478-position model. The record is from RNAcentral.